ACAAUGGAGAGUUUGAUCCUGGCUCAGGAUGAACGCUAGCGGCAGGCUUAAUACAUGCAAGUCGAACGAGAUUUCCCGGUUCGCUGGGGAUGAAAGUGGCGCACGGGUGCGUAACGCGUAUGCAACCUACCUUUAACUGGGAGAUAGCCCCGAGAAAUCGGGAUUAAUACCCCAUAACAUAACGAUCAGGCAUCUGGUUGUUAUCAAAGUUCCGGCGGUUAAAGAUGGGCAUGCGUGGCAUUAGCUAGUUGGUGAGGUAACGGCUCACCAAGGCUACGAUGCCUAGGGGACCUGAGAGGGUGAUCCCCCACACUGGUACUGAGACACGGACCAGACUCCUACGGGAGGCAGCAGUAAGGAAUAUUGGGCAAUGGACGCAAGUCUGACCCAGCCAUGCCGCGUGCAGGAUGACGGCCCUAUGGGUUGUAAACUGCUUUUGUACGGGAAGAACCCCUUCGAUUCUUCGGAGGCUGACGGUACUGUACGAAUAAGCAUCGGCUAACUCCGUGCCAGCAGCCGCGGUAAUACGGAGGAUGCAAGCGUUAUCCGGAUUUAUUGGGUUUAAAGGGUGCGCAGGCGGAAUGGUAAGUCAGUGGUGAAAUCUCCCGGCUCAACCGGGAAACUGCCGUUGAUACUGCCGUUCUAGAGUACAGUUGGGGUGGGCGGAAUGUGUCAUGUAGCGGUGAAAUGCUUAGAUAUGACACAGAACACCGAUCGCGAAGGCAGCUCACCAAGUUGUAACUGACGCUCAUGCACGAAAGCGUGGGGAUCAAACAGGAUUAGAUACCCUGGUAGUCCACGCCGUAAACGAUGAUCACUCGUUGUUGGCGAUACACAGUCAGCGACUGAGCGAAAGCAUUAAGUGAUCCACCUGGGGAGUACGACCGCAAGGUUGAAACUCAAAGGAAUUGACGGGGGCCCGCACAAGCGGUGGAGCAUGUGGUUUAAUUCGAUGAUACGCGAGGAACCUUACCUGGGCUUGAAAGAGGGACGAUCUUCCGUGAAAGCGGAAUUUCCUUCGGGACGUCCUUCUAGGUGCUGCAUGGUUGUCGUCAGCUCGUGCCGUGAGGUGUCGGGUUAAGUCCCAUAACGAGCGCAACCCCUAUUCUUAGUUGCCAGCAUGUAAUGAUGGGGACUCUAAGAAAACUGCCUACGCAAGUAGUGAGGAAGGUGGGGAUGACGUCAAAUCAGCACGGCCCUUAUGUCCAGGGCUACACACGUGCUACAAUGGUCGGUACAAUGGGCAGCUACCUGGUGACAGGAUGCUAAUCUCAAAAGCCGAUCUCAGUUCGGAUUGGAGUCUGCAACUCGACUCCAUGAAGCUGGAAUCGCUAGUAAUCGCGCAUCAGCCAUGGCGCGGUGAAUACGUUCCCGGGCCUUGUACACACCGCCCGUCAAGCCAUGGAAGCUGGGGGUGCCUGAAGUCCGUCACCGCAAGGAGCGGCCUAGGGUAAAACCAGUGACUGGGGCUAAGUCGUAACAAGGUAGCCGUACCGGAAGGUGUGGCUGGAAUACCUCCUUU
Molecule: ribosomal RNA, 1522 nt
Filed under: Lentimicrobiaceae bacterium
Lineage: Bacteria; Pseudomonadati; Bacteroidota; Bacteroidia; Bacteroidales; Lentimicrobiaceae
Description: bacterial SSU rRNA
Rfam family: Bacterial small subunit ribosomal RNA
Source: RNAcentral